RNA transcript from Sapajus apella (tufted capuchin), 989 nucleotides. It is a transcript of the gene named V-type proton ATPase subunit E 1 pseudogene, with no coding region annotated. The transcript has a single exon. NCBI's taxonomy places the organism in Eukaryota, Metazoa, Chordata, Mammalia, Primates, Cebidae. The record is from RefSeq and is a predicted model, not a curated record.
AUGUCAGAUGUCCAAUUGAUGAAUCAAGCAAGGCUCAAAGUCCUCAGAGCAAGAGAUGACCUUAUCACAGACCUACUAAAUGAAGCAAAACAGAGGAUCAGCAAGGUGGUAAAAGAUACAACCAGGUACCAAGUGCUGCUGGAUGGACUGGUUCUCCAGGGUUUGUACUAGUUGCUGGAGCCCCGAAUGAUUGUUUGAUGCAGGAAACAAGAUUUCCCUCUGGUAAAGGCUGCAGUGCAAAAGGCAAUCCCAAUACACAAAAUUGCCACCAAAAACAAUGUUGAUGUCCAAAUUGACCAAGAGUCCUACCUGCCUGAGGACUUAGCUGGUGGAGUUGAGAUCUAUAAUGGGGAUCGUAAAACAAAGGUUUCCAACACCCUGGAAAGCCGGCUGGACCUCAUAGACCAGCAGGUGAUGCCAGAAGUCUGAGGAGCCUUGUUUGGUGCGAAUGCUAACAGGAAGUUUUUGGACUAAGCCUCCGAGAGGUAGAGCUCAUCCUCGGCUCUCCUGCUGUGACAUGGAAGCUUCUGAUAUUUGAAGAAACACGAUGUCUCUGUAGCUUCCUCUUUACUGCCCUGCUGUUGCUCAGUAUUUAUCAGUGAUGCCCCUCUGUCUGUCACUAACGCCUUGCCUAAUUGUUCACAAUGGCGGAAAGCUUCAUGUAAUAUGCUCAAGACCCACCUUCAGUUCAUCUGAAGUGACACAGUGUCUGGUCGGUUCAGCACACUAGGGGAGGGGCAGGUGGUGAUUGCAUAGGCUUCCUGGGUCUCCGUUCUACGUCUGGCGUAGAGGUGACAUGUCUGGCAUUCUCGGCCCUGCAUUCCCCACUCUUGAAGCUUAAGGUGCAUGUGGCACACUACUUCUUCAUAGUCGCUUCACUGUUCCCUGUUUAGGUCUAGAAGUUUUCCCUCUUCUGCAAAUGUGAUUCAGAAUCUAAGCCAUGGAUGUGCUUUAUUUAUUAAAAGAGUUAUGUGGAAUUAAAAAAAAAA